Pan troglodytes (chimpanzee) is the source of this 1569-nucleotide long non-coding RNA. RefSeq lists it as uncharacterized. Lineage: Eukaryota; Metazoa; Chordata; Mammalia; Primates; Hominidae. The transcript is spliced from 6 exons. The record is from RefSeq and is a predicted model, not a curated record.
AGGGAAAAGCUUCUAUCUAAAUACACAUAGCAUAACAAUCACCCCUGGAAAAACUACAUGGCUUACCAAAAGAGGUCUCUCUGUUCACUGUCCAUUAUCUGUUGACUGAACUAGUUCAAAUGAAUAACAAGUAAUGAUCAAAUUGCCAGUUUAUAUUUUACAACAGUCUUAUCUUUAAAAAAAAUGCAAGGAGGAAAUACAAAAAUGUAAUACAUUUAUCUUACUUUCUUUUCUAUUUCCUCCCCUGAAAUUAUUACUAUGCUAUUGGAAGCCAUACAAACACAUAUAUACACAAAUAUACAUAUGCUUCAAUGAAAAGCAGGCAUGCAGCUGAUAGCUCGGUAACCCUGAGCACAGAAUUUUGAAGAGAGAAUACACUAAAAGGGAAGAACAUAACUACAUGACAUCAUAAGAAGUCCUGAAUUAGAAGCGUAUAUUUGAAAGGUCAUGCAUCCUGAGCUGCCAACAGCUUAACAACCAGAGGCAGAGGCCACCUUUGCCAGCUCACUGCUUCUACUCAUCUUUCAUGAUAGUAGCCAGGCUGAAUAUAGUUCCAGGAUGAUAAUGAAUUGGCUGGGCAUACUGUUUAUAUUAGUAUGUAUGUUCCUGUACUAAACCAAGCAUCAUGAGGCCAGCACUAUUUUGCCAUUUUUCAGAAAAAAAAUAUGAACCCUUCAAAACAUAGUAUAGCAUACUCAAUGAUACAGAACUCUCUCCAGAGAAAAGAGGGAAUUAAAGAAAUUAGAAGAUAACAGGUUGCAUAUUCUAGCUGUAAAAACAGACACUUCAGGAUAGGUUUGGAAUCAUUUUGUCCAUAAGCAAGAUAUAACCUCCUGAUAUUUUGAUUGUAAUUACAUUGAAUCUGUGGAACAAUUUGGAAAGAACCAACAUCUUGAGAAUUAUGACACUGAAGCUGAGAGCUGAAUAGCAAGAAGCAGCAAGGCAUGGAAGAGCCCAAGUAAGAAGGAGCCCAGAAUCUGACGUCACCUUUUCUCAAGUUAUUCAAUUCAAAUACCUUCCAAUUGCAUAUAUCUAUUACCCAUAGCCCUCUACUGCCUGUGAGACUGAAAAGGGACAAAAAGACAACACAUUGGAGGCCGAGGAGGGCAGAUCACCUGAGGUCAGGAGUUCGAGAGCAGCCUUACCAACAUGGUGAAGCCCCAUCUCUAAUAAAAAUACACAAAUUAGCCAGGCAUGGUGGCACAGGCCUGUAAUCCCAGCUACUUGGGAGGCUGAGGCAGGAGAAUCUCUUCAACCUGGGAGGCGGAAGUUGCAGUGAGCCAAGACCGCAACAAUGCACUCCAGCCUGGACAACAAGACUGAAACUCCAUCUCAAAAAAAAAAAAAAAAAAAUACAACACAAUGUUAAAAGUGGCCCCAUCCUUCCCUUUACUGUUCAGGAUUUAUCACAGGGGCUAAAAUAGGUACAGAAUAUGAUAGUAAAGAAAUCAAAUCCCUUUGGCAUGAUUACAGAGUUGAAUCAACCAAGAUAAAGAAGAAUAUGAUGAAAAGAAGUUGAGAAUUUUACCUCUAAAUUCAUUAUCAUACUAUAAACCAGAGAUUUGACCU